RNAcentral lists this small RNA (76 nucleotides) under Xanthomonas campestris. RNAcentral's name for it is "sX9 sRNA". It matches the Rfam family "Xanthomonas sRNA sX9". Lineage: Bacteria; Pseudomonadati; Pseudomonadota; Gammaproteobacteria; Lysobacterales; Lysobacteraceae. The record is from RNAcentral.
AUGUACCCCCCGGACACUCCGGCUCCUCCGCGCCGUCCGCACCCACCUGACGACUGCUCGCAACGUUUUGUUAACC